RNAcentral lists this ribosomal RNA (499 nucleotides) under uncultured bacterium. Its description in RNAcentral is "bacterial SSU rRNA". It matches the Rfam family "Bacterial small subunit ribosomal RNA", at positions 10 to 509 of the family's 1533-position model. The record is from RNAcentral.
AGUUUGAUCCUGGCUCAGGAUGAACGCUGGCGGCGUGCCUAACACAUGCAAGUCGAGCGAAGCACUUUACUUUGAUUCUUCGGAUGAAGAGUUUUGUGACUGAGCGGCGGACGGGUGAGUAACGCGUGGGUAACCUGCCUCAUACAGGGGGAUAACAGUUAGAAAUGACUGCUAAUACCGCAUAAGACCACAGCACCGCAUGGUGCAGGGGUAAAAACUCCGGUGGUAUGAGAUGGACCCGCGUCUGAUUAGCUAGUUGGUAAGGUAACGGCUUACCAAGGCGACGAUCAGUAGCCGACCUGAGAGGGUGACCGGCCACAUUGGGACUGAGACACGGCCCAAACUCCUACGGGAGGCAGCAGUGGGGAAUAUUGCACAAUGGGGGAAACCCUGAUGCAGCGACGCCGCGUGAGCGAAGAAGUAUUUCGGUAUGUAAAGCUCUAUCAGCAGGGAAGAAACUGACGGUACCUGACUAAGAAGCACCGGCUAAAUACGUGCC